RNAcentral lists this transfer RNA (75 nucleotides) under Candidatus Magasanikbacteria bacterium CG10_big_fil_rev_8_21_14_0_10_40_10. RNAcentral describes it as "tRNA-His". It matches the Rfam family "tRNA". From Rfam's summary of the family: Transfer RNA (tRNA) molecules are approximately 80 nucleotides in length. Their secondary structure includes four short double-helical elements and three loops (D, anti-codon, and T loops). Further hydrogen bonds mediate the characteristic L-shaped molecular structure. tRNAs have two regions of fundamental functional importance: the anti-codon, which is responsible for specific mRNA codon recognition, and the 3' end, to which the tRNAs corresponding amino acid is attached (by aminoacyl-tRNA synthetases). tRNAs cope with the degeneracy of the genetic code in two manners: having more than one tRNA (with a specific anti-codon) for a particular amino acid; and 'wobble' base-pairing, i.e. permitting non-standard base-pairing at the 3rd anti-codon position. Lineage: Bacteria; Candidatus Magasanikiibacteriota. The record is from RNAcentral.
GUGGCUAUGGUAUAAUGGUUAUUACAUCGGUUUGUGGUACCGAUAAUACGAGUUCAAUUCUCGUUAGCCACCCCA